This 309-nucleotide long non-coding RNA is filed under the name Panax ginseng (ginseng). RNAcentral describes it as "long non-coding RNA (PGIN_LNC018673)". Lineage: Eukaryota; Viridiplantae; Streptophyta; Magnoliopsida; Apiales; Araliaceae. The record is from RNAcentral.
AACUAAGUCCGUAAGCCCGAUAUUACUUACGCGCACUUCUAGGUGAUCAGCCUAUUGUACUCUAUGUUGAUCAAUACUAAAUCCAUUAAACGUAUGUACGUUUAAUCAUUUGGUAACUUCACGUGCCUGUCGUUUUACCGACAAAACAUUUGUUUAAAAUUCCAAUUUUCUUUUGAAAACCAUAUCAAGUAUGUGGCGACCCCAAAUCCGGGUACUUGCAACCCGAACUCGGUUCUCCACGAUACCAUUUCUUUAAGCUGAAUAAUACUAAAUAAUAAUACAUUCGAACUUAAUUUACAUACAUCAAAG